CCUACGGGGGGCAGCAGCUAGGAAUCUUGGGAAUGGGCGAAAGCCUGACCCAGCAACGCCGCGUGGGCGAUGAAGGCCUUCGGGUCGUAAAGCCCUUUUGCAGGGGACGAUAAUGACGGUACCUUGCGACUAAGCCACGGCUAACUACGUGCCAGCCGCCGCGGUAAUACUUAGGUGGCAAGCGUUGUCCGGAGUUACGUGGCGUAAAGGGCGUGCAGGCGGUUUGUUAAGUCUAGGGUGAAAGCUCCCGGCUCAACUGGGAGAGGGCCUUGGAUACUGGCGAACUUGAGGGAUGCAGAGGAAAGUGGAAUUCCCGGUGUAGUGGUGAUAUGCGUAGAUAUCGGGAGGAACACCAGUGGCGAAGGCGGCUUUCUGGGCAUUUCCUGACGCUGAGACGCGAAAGCGUGGGGAGCGAACCGGAUUAGAUACCCGUGUAGUC
RNAcentral lists this ribosomal RNA (439 nucleotides) under uncultured bacterium. RNAcentral describes it as "partial 16S ribosomal RNA". It matches the Rfam family "Bacterial small subunit ribosomal RNA", at positions 338 to 795 of the family's 1533-position model. The record is from RNAcentral.